GACGGAGGAUGCAAGUGUUAUCCGGAAUCACUGGGCGUAAAGCGUCUGUAGGUGGUUUAAUAAGUCGGCUGUUAAAUCUUGAAGCUUAACUUCAAAACUGCAGUCGAAACUAUUAGACUAGAGUAUAGUAGGGGUAAAGGGAAUUUCCAGUGGAGCGGUGAAAUGCGUAGAUAUUGGAAAGAACACCGAUGGCGAAGGCACUUUACUGGGCCAUUACUGACACUCAGAGACGAAAGCUAGGGUAGCAAACGGG
Molecule: ribosomal RNA, 253 nt
Filed under: uncultured bacterium
Lineage: Bacteria
Description: partial 16S ribosomal RNA
Rfam family: Bacterial small subunit ribosomal RNA
Source: RNAcentral